This 661-nucleotide ribosomal RNA is filed under the name uncultured organism. RNAcentral describes it as "bacterial SSU rRNA". It matches the Rfam family "Bacterial small subunit ribosomal RNA", at positions 1 to 663 of the family's 1533-position model. The record is from RNAcentral.
CGGCUUAGAGUUUGAUCAUGGCUCAGGAUGAACGCUGGCGGCGUGCCUAACACAUGCAAGUCGAGCGAAGCACUUUACUUUGAUUCUUCGGAUGAAGAGUUUUGUGACUGAGCGGCGGACGGGUGAGUAACGCGUGGGUAACCUGCCUCAUACAGGGGGAUAACAGUUAGAAAUGACUGCUAAUACCGCAUAAGACCACAGCAUCGCAUGGUGCAGGGGUAAAAACUCCGGUGGUAUGAGAUGGACCCGCGUCUGAUUAGCUAGUUGGUAAGGUAACGGCUUACCAAGGCGACGAUCAGUAGCCGACCUGAGAGGGUGACCGGCCACAUUGGGACUGAGACACGGCCCAAACUCCUACGGGAGGCAGCAGUGGGGAAUAUUGCACAAUGGGGGAAACCCUGAUGCAGCGACGCCGCGUGAGCGAAGAAGUAUUUCGGUAUGUAAAGCUCUAUCAGCAGGGAAGAAACUGACGGUACCUGACUAAGAAGCACCGGCUAAAUACGUGCCAGCAGCCGCGGUAAUACGUAUGGUGCAAGCGUUAUCCGGAUUUACUGGGUGUAAAGGGAGCGUAGACGGAUAGGCAAGUCUGGAGUGAAAGCCCGGGGCUCAACCCCGGGACUGCUUUGGAAACUGUUUAUCUAGAGUGCUGGAGAGGUAAGUG